This 806-nucleotide long non-coding RNA is filed under the name Homo sapiens (human). RNAcentral's name for it is "long non-coding RNA NONHSAT220396.1". Lineage: Eukaryota; Metazoa; Chordata; Mammalia; Primates; Hominidae. The record is from RNAcentral.
CGCUCGCCCGGCGCCAUGGAUCCGCUGUCGCCGCCGCUCUGCACGCUGCCGCCGGGCCCCGAGCCGCCCCGCUUCGUGUGCUACUGCGAAGGGGAGGAAAGCGGGGAGGGGGACCGCGGCCUUCUCCCCCAGCGUGACCGACGCCGCGGAGCUUUGGAGCACCUGCUUCACGCCGGACAGCCUGGCGGCCCUCCCCGUUUUGGCCUGAGUGCGGCUGAGGACAUCACCCCCCGGUUCAGGGCAGCCUGUGAGCAGCAAGCUGUGGCUCUGACUCUGCAGGAGGACAGAGCAUCCCUGACGCUUUCAGGGGGGCCCUCGGCACUGGCCUUUGACCUCUCCAAGGUACCAGGCCCAGAGGCAGCCCCCAGGCUGCGGGCGCUGACACUGGGCCUGGCAAAACGCGUGUGGAGCCUGGAGCGGCGACUGGCAGCUGCAGAAGAGACAGCUGUCAGCCCGAGGAAGAGCCCCCGGCCUGCAGGGCCUCAGCUCUUCUUACCAGACCCAGAUCCCCAGAGAGGUGGCCCUGGACCUGGAGUCAGGAGGCGGUGUCCAGGAGAGUCGCUCAUCAACCCCGGGUUCAAGAGUAAGAAACCAGCUGGUGGCGUGGACUUCGAUGAGACCUGAAGGUGCAGCACAAGCGUGGCCCCGCGGGGAGUCCGCCUAUGAGGGGAGAGGCAGUCUUUGAGGCCCCCAUCAGAGACCCCCCGCCACCACCUCCACCUGCCUGUCCUGGGCCAGGACUAACACGGCUCCUCAAAUUCCUUCCCUGUCAAAUAAACAGCUCCCUUGGUUGGAGGCUCUGGUGG